Molecule: long non-coding RNA, 1121 nt
Filed under: Heterocephalus glaber (naked mole-rat)
Lineage: Eukaryota; Metazoa; Chordata; Mammalia; Rodentia; Bathyergidae
Description: lncRNA (ENSHGLG00100036357.1)
Source: RNAcentral
UGGAACAACGAAGAUUUACUUUAUUAUUUUUUUAAUGUGCUGCUGGGAAAGGAACCCAGGGUUUCAUGCAUGCUAAGCAUACUCCAAAUUUAUGUGUUGAUUUACUUUAGUCAGGGAAGUCUGAAGUCUGAUGUGGCUGAAGAGGGUCUCACUGGGCUAACACCAAGGUGUCAGCAGGGCUGGGUCCUUCUGGAGGCUCCAGUUCAGGGCCUCCUGUAUCCCUGGGUUUGCGGUCCCCUCCGUUUUCAAAAUCAGCAGUAUCACCUCGCUCUGUCUCCAGCCACAACUGGAGCUAAUUCUCUGGUUUUAAGGACCACCGUCAUUCCUUGGGCCACCUGGGUGAUCCAGGGUGCUCUCUCACUCAGGUUAGUCAUACCUGUAGGGCUCCUUCUGAUCAUAGAGGAACACUGUGACAUCUGAGGCCUGGGACCUGACCUUUCCUUGAGCACGAGGACAGAAAGAUGCCACCUCCCUCCCUUCCUUCCUGGCUUCCCACUUGGAGUCUGGAGCUUACACAUGGUCAUACCUAGAAAGGUCAGGGAAACUGAGGCCACAGAUCCUCAUGUGCUCUCUCCCUUCCCUAUCCCAGGAGGUCGAAGCACCUGAUCUUGGAGGGACACCCCUGCCCCCGUCCCCAGACCCUGGAGUGCAGGGGUUUCUCUUCUCAUCUUGAAGGGAAGGAAGCUGAGGCUCUCAGGGGGCUGCAGCUGGUCCCUAAAGGGGACUGGCUUCCUGCAGAGAGAAGCAGGCAUGACUGGGACUGUCCCUUGGGCAGAAGGGCAUGGUGCUGGUCCUGGCAGAGCCCUCUGGCAGGAGCCUAUGCCCUCAGUGACAAGCAGCUGAGAACCACACCUCAGGGCAGAGAGCUAGAUAAACAGAGGAGGUAGAUUCAUUUCCCUGAAGACACAGCUCGCUGGAGAAUCCAGGCACCCUCACCAUCAUCUGCCCAGACCUGCAGAGCGCUGUGGGACGAUCUGAAGCGAGGCCAGGGUGCCAUGGUUUAAGGGGAAGACUUUUCCAACAUGGUGGUCACCUAGAUAGGGGCGACACGGGCUCUUCCGAGUUCAAAUCCUGGGCCACCUUUCUGGGGUGAGCUUUGGCACUUUGCCUGAACUCGCCAU